This is a long non-coding RNA of Gossypium arboreum, 249 nucleotides long. RefSeq lists it as uncharacterized. NCBI's taxonomy places the organism in Eukaryota, Viridiplantae, Streptophyta, Magnoliopsida, Malvales, Malvaceae. The transcript has 2 exons. The record is from RefSeq and is a predicted model, not a curated record.
GAAAACUGAAAUUCGGGCUAAAAUGGGGAAAAUACCAAGUUGUGGACGAAAUGGUAAAAAUAGCCAUUUUCGCAUACGAGUGUUGACAAGCCAGCUCGGAAAUCGGAAGCGGUCGGAGGCACGCUCACACUAUCCGUAUACCAUCUUGGCAUAAUGGCUUGUAUAUUUUGAGUAUGGCAUGUAUAGCAUUAUAAUCAUUUUAUAUGUAUGGUCUUAUGAUAUGGUUAUUGAGUGGUAUGGAAAUAGAAA